RNAcentral lists this RNase P RNA (342 nucleotides) under bovine gut metagenome. Its description in RNAcentral is "Bacterial RNase P class A". It matches the Rfam family "Bacterial RNase P class A". From Rfam's summary of the family: Ribonuclease P (RNase P) is a ubiquitous endoribonuclease, found in archaea, bacteria and eukarya as well as chloroplasts and mitochondria. Its best characterised activity is the generation of mature 5'-ends of tRNAs by cleaving the 5'-leader elements of precursor-tRNAs. The record is from RNAcentral.
UAGGCGGGUUUGUCGCUGGCCGUCAGGUCAGAGGAAAGUCCGGGCAACGUAGGGCACCAUGCUUCCUAACGGGAAGUUGUUCGUGAGGGCAAACGUUCAUAGAAGAAAAUAACCGCCCGUUCGCGGGUAAGGGUGAGAAGGUGGGGUAAGAGCCCACCAGUUCUGAUGGUGACAUCGGAAGCUGUAUGAGUCAUGGGUUGUAAGAUCAUGUAUACCGAAUGUGGGGCGGCCCGUCCCUUUCGUCGGGGGGUAGAUUGCUUGAGGCUUAUGGUGACAUAAGUCCUAGAUUAAUGACAAACAUCCGUUUCGGCGGAGACAGAACUCGGCUUAUACGCCUACUAU